CAAAGAAAGAUGCUAAACUAUUUUUGCGAUAUGUUCCUAAUAUGUUAUAUAAGUAUAUUGGGAACAUUUUGCAUCUAUAGUUUUGUAUCAAUACAUGAGG
This 100-nucleotide microRNA precursor is filed under the name Procavia capensis (Cape rock hyrax). RNAcentral describes it as "miRNA (ENSPCAG00000019855.1)". The stretch from base 12 to 89 matches the Rfam family "mir-450 microRNA precursor family". Lineage: Eukaryota; Metazoa; Chordata; Mammalia; Hyracoidea; Procaviidae. The record is from RNAcentral.